RNAcentral lists this ribosomal RNA (253 nucleotides) under uncultured bacterium. Its description in RNAcentral is "partial 16S ribosomal RNA". It matches the Rfam family "Bacterial small subunit ribosomal RNA", at positions 524 to 776 of the family's 1533-position model. The record is from RNAcentral.
UACAUGGGGUGCAAACGUUGCUCGGAAUUAUUGGGCGUAAAGCGCACGUAGGCGGUUUGUUAAGUCGGAUGUGAAAUCCCUCGGCUCAACUGAGGAAGUGCAUCCGAAACUGGCAGGCUUGAGUACUAAAGAGGGUCGCGGAAUUCCCGGUGUAGAGGUGAAAUGCGCAGAUAUCAGGAGGAACACCAAUUGCGAAGGCAGCUCGCUGGGACGUUACUGACGCUGAGGAGCGAAAGCGUGGGGAGCGAACAGG